UAGGUAACUCGAUCUUCGUCCUCUCGUUCCAACUUCCAAUUCAUGUUCCAUUUGUUACGGU
This 61-nucleotide small RNA is filed under the name Arabidopsis thaliana (thale cress). Its description in RNAcentral is "ATSL179860". Lineage: Eukaryota; Viridiplantae; Streptophyta; Magnoliopsida; Brassicales; Brassicaceae. The record is from RNAcentral.